Molecule: ribosomal RNA, 855 nt
Filed under: Metridium senile lobatum
Lineage: Eukaryota; Metazoa; Cnidaria; Anthozoa; Actiniaria; Metridiidae
Description: partial 12S ribosomal RNA
Rfam family: Bacterial small subunit ribosomal RNA
Source: RNAcentral
AGCCACACUUUCACUGAAACAAGGGGAAGGCUCACAUAGAGGCAGCAGUAGAGAAUCUUGUGCAAUGCACGAAAGUAUGACACAGAGAGGACACAUUUAAUUGAGCCCGUCAAAUUAAGUGCCAGCCGACGCGGUUAGACUUAAGGGCUGGUCUUUAUAAGUAAAAAGGCGUAAAGGAUGUGUAGGCCAAGAAAUUGUCCAAGAAGGUAAAUGGAAUUUUUCUGGAGCGGUAGAAUGUGAGGAUAGAAAAUAGAACACCUAAGGUUAAAACUAUUUACCACAAAAUAGGCUGAAACAUGAAAGUGUGGGGAGCAAACAGGAUUAGAGACCCUGGUAGUCCACACUGUGAACUUUGAAGAUGAUGCUUAGCAGACCCGAAAGGUAAAAUCUUCCGCCUGAGUAGUACGAUCGCAAGAUUAAAAUUCAAAAACUUUGGCUGUUCACUAUUUCGAUUAGAGGAGCGUGUAGUUUAAUUCGAUGGUCCGCGUGUUACCUUACCCCAGCUUGAAUCUAUGACCGGUAUUGCAUGGCCGUCGUAAGUCCGUGUGUUAAGCUAGAAGGGACCCAAUCCGGGCGUUUGCCCGAAGGAAGUCAGGUCUUAUGAUCCGAAUGUUGGGGGAUUUUAUGCGCUACAUUUUCUUAUAUAAUGAGAGACUUGAAAGGUAAGCCUCUAAAGUAAGAGUUCGGAAGGUCGCUGUAAAACGACUGGAAGUUGGAUUUAAUAGUAAUCGGAAAGUAGGGCGUUCCGGUGAAUUGGUACAAGUGUUAGCACAAAUUGCCCGUCACCUUUACCUAGGAUGGUUAUUCGGACGCCGUCUGUGGUUACGAAUGCCUACGAGGUAAAGCAAGUCGUAA